RNAcentral lists this unclassified non-coding RNA (338 nucleotides) under Hevea brasiliensis (rubber tree). Lineage: Eukaryota; Viridiplantae; Streptophyta; Magnoliopsida; Malpighiales; Euphorbiaceae. The record is from RNAcentral.
GCCAGUUUAUGAACUAGGAACAGAUUCUUUGAAUUUUUUGUGGGGCGUUCGGGUGGAUGUGGUGCUGGUUACUAGGGGGCUGCCCUGUGCUUUCCAAUUCUUUAAGCAUCACUGGUUAAUUUCCUGCAGAUUGGAAGGACUCGAGUUCAUUUGGGAAGAUCAGGUGUAGCUCUCCAGAAUAGCCAGGUCUCUAAACCUGAAUGCUUCCGCACUGUAAGCAUGUUGUUUGCCUUGUUAGACUUGUUGCCUCAUUCUAGAUUUUUGUUCCAUUUGUUCAUAUGUGAAUUGUUUUAUGUGUGAUUUCCUUAAUAUCUAUGAUAUGACGAAGCAUAUUUUUU